Molecule: ribosomal RNA, 408 nt
Filed under: uncultured bacterium
Lineage: Bacteria
Description: bacterial SSU rRNA
Rfam family: Bacterial small subunit ribosomal RNA
Source: RNAcentral
AACGAACGCUGGCGGCAGGCUUAACACAUGCAAGUCGAACGCGUGUAGCAAUACACGAGUGGCGCACGGGUGAGUAACGCGUGGAUAUCUGCCUUUGGUUCGGAAUAACUCCGGGAAACUGGAGCUAAUACCGGAUGGUUCCUACGGGAUAAAGAUUUAUCGCCAAAAGAUGAGUCCGCGUACGAUUAGCUAGUUGGUGAGGUAAUGGCUCACCAAGGCGACGAUCGUUAGCUGGUCUGAGAGGACGAUCAGCCACACUGGGACUGAGACACGGCCCAGACUCCUACGGGAGGCAGCAGUGGGGAAUAUUGGACAAUGGGGCAACCCUGAUCCAGCCAUGCCGCGUGAGUGAUGAAGGCCUUCGGGUUGUAAAGCUCUUUGGUCGGGGACGAUGAUGACGGUACCCGC